GUGCUCCCUUCGGCAGCACAGAGACUAAAAUCGGAACGAUACAGAGCAGAUUAGCAUGGUUGCACAAGGAUGACACGCAAAUUCAUGAAGCAUUCCAUAGUUUC
Small nuclear RNA from Onychomys torridus (southern grasshopper mouse), 104 nucleotides. The record is from RefSeq and is a predicted model, not a curated record. NCBI's taxonomy places the organism in Eukaryota, Metazoa, Chordata, Mammalia, Rodentia, Cricetidae.